Acanthosepion pharaonis is the source of this 113-nucleotide non-coding RNA. NCBI's taxonomy places the organism in Eukaryota, Metazoa, Mollusca, Cephalopoda, Sepiida, Sepiidae. The record is from the annotation of a GenBank genome assembly.
UAUGGCCAUAUCAUGUUGAAACACCGGUUCUCGUACGAUCACCGAAGUUAAGCAACGUCAAACCGGGUUAGUACCUCGAUAAAUGACCACUUGCAAAUGCCAUGUGAUGUAAG